Molecule: ribosomal RNA, 814 nt
Filed under: uncultured bacterium
Lineage: Bacteria
Description: bacterial SSU rRNA
Rfam family: Bacterial small subunit ribosomal RNA
Source: RNAcentral
GCAAGUCGAGCGCGCCCUUCGGGGUGAGCGGCGGACGGGUGAGUAACGCGUGGGAACGUGCCCUUUGCUGCGGAAUAGCCACUGGAAACGGUGAGUAAUACCGCAUGAGCCCUUCGGGGGAAAGAUUUAUCGGCAAGGGAUCGGCCCGCGUUGGAUUAGGUAGUUGGUGGGGUAAUGGCCUACCAAGCCGACGAUCCAUAGCUGGUUUCAGAGGAUGAUCAGCCACACUGGGACUGAGACACGGCCCAGACUCCUACGGGAGGCAGCAGUGGGGAAUCUUAGACAAUGGGCGCAAGCCUGAUCUAGCCAUGCCGCGUGAGUGACGAAGGCCCUAGGGUCGUAAAGCUCUUUCGCCUGUGAAGAUAAUGACGGUAGCAGGUAAAGAAACCCCGGCUAACUCCGUGCCAGCAGCCGCGGUAAUACGGAGGGGGUUAGCGUUGUUCGGAAUUACUGGGCGUAAAGCGCGCGUAGGCGGACCAUCAAGUUGGGGGUGAAAUCCCGGGGCUCAACCCCGGAACUGCCUCCAAAACUGGCGGUCUGGAGUUCGAGAGAGGUGAGUGGAAUUCCGAGUGUAGAGGUGAAAUUCGUAGAUAUUCGGAGGAACACCAGUGGCGAAGGCGGCUCACUGGCUCGAGACUGACGCUGAGGUGCGAAAGUGUGGGGAGCAAACAGGAUUAGAUACCCUGGUAGUCCACACCGUAAACGAUGAAUGCCAGUCGUCGGCAAGCAUGCUUGUCGGUGACACACCUAACGGAUUAAGCAUUCCGCCUGGGGAGUACGGCCGCAAGGUUACAACUCAAAGGAAUUGACGGAU